CCUACGGGAGGUAGCAGUGAGGAAUAUUGGUCAAUGGGCGAGAGCCUGAACCAGCCCAGUCGCGUGAGGGAGUACUGCCCUAUGGGUUGUAAACCUCUUUUGUCGGGGAGCAAAAGCCGGACGUGUCCGGCUGUGAGAGUACCCGAAGAAAAAGCAUCGGCUAACUCCGUGCCAGCAGCCGCGGUAAUACGUAGGAUGCGACCGUUAUCAGGAUUUAUUGGGUUAAACGAGUGCGCAGUCGGCUUUUUACGUAAGCGGUAAAAUCGUGGGGCUCAAACCCAUCCAGCCGUUGAAACUGGGGAUCUAGAGUGUGCGAAAGGCAGGCGGAAUGCGUGGUGUAGCGGUGAAAUGCAUAGAGAGCACGCAGAACCCCGAUUGCGAAGGCAGCAUACCGGUGCACAACUGACGCUCAGGCACGAAAGCGUGGGUAUCGAACAGGAUUAGAUACCCGGGUAGUC
This 458-nucleotide ribosomal RNA is filed under the name uncultured bacterium. RNAcentral describes it as "partial 16S ribosomal RNA". It matches the Rfam family "Bacterial small subunit ribosomal RNA", at positions 338 to 795 of the family's 1533-position model. The record is from RNAcentral.